This 85-nucleotide transfer RNA is filed under the name Felis catus (domestic cat). It matches the Rfam family "tRNA". Rfam says of the family: Transfer RNA (tRNA) molecules are approximately 80 nucleotides in length. Their secondary structure includes four short double-helical elements and three loops (D, anti-codon, and T loops). The record is from Rfam by way of RNAcentral. Lineage: Eukaryota; Metazoa; Chordata; Mammalia; Carnivora; Felidae.
ACCUGGGUGGCUCAGUAGGUUGGGCAUCUGACUUUGGCUCAGAUAAUGAUCUCACAGCCUGUGAGUUCAAGCCCCGCAUUGGGUU